RNAcentral lists this ribosomal RNA (301 nucleotides) under uncultured bacterium. RNAcentral describes it as "partial 16S ribosomal RNA". It matches the Rfam family "Bacterial small subunit ribosomal RNA", at positions 509 to 807 of the family's 1533-position model. The record is from RNAcentral.
CAGUCGCCGCGGGAAUACGGAGGGUGCAAGCGUUAAUCGGAAUUACUGGGCGUAAAGCGUGCGUAGGCGGUUCGUUAAGUCUGUUGUGAAAGCCCCGGGCUCAACCCCGGAACUGCCUUUGAAACUAGGUGACUAGAAUCUUGGAGAGGUCAGUGGAAUUCCGAGUGUAGAGGUGAAAUUCGUAGAUAUUCGGAAGAACACCAGUGGCGAAGGCGACUGACUGGACAAGUAUUGACGCUGAGGCACGAAAGCGUGGGGAGCAAACAGGAUUAGAUACCCGAGUAGUCCCUGUCUCUUAUAC